UUAUACCUACGGGGCGCAGCAGUAGGGAAUAUUGCUCAAUGGGGGAAACCCUGAAGCAGCAACGCCGCGUGGAGGAUGAAGGUUUUCGGAUUGUAAACUCCUUUUGUUAGAGAAGAUAAUGACGGUAUCUAACGAAUAAGCACCGGCUAACUCCGAGCCAGCAGACGCGGUAAUACGGAGGGUGCAAGCGUUACUCGGAAUCACUGGGCGUAAAGAGCGCGUAGGCGGGAUAGCAAGUCAGAUGUGAAAUCCUAUGGCUUA
RNAcentral lists this ribosomal RNA (261 nucleotides) under uncultured bacterium. Its description in RNAcentral is "partial 16S ribosomal RNA". It matches the Rfam family "Bacterial small subunit ribosomal RNA", at positions 333 to 611 of the family's 1533-position model. The record is from RNAcentral.